Long non-coding RNA from Falco peregrinus (peregrine falcon), 625 nucleotides. RefSeq lists it as uncharacterized. The record is from RefSeq and is a predicted model, not a curated record. The transcript has 2 exons. NCBI's taxonomy places the organism in Eukaryota, Metazoa, Chordata, Aves, Falconiformes, Falconidae.
UGAAGGGGCUGGCUGGGUUAGGUCAGUGGUUGUGCAAAGCAGCAGUGGUCAUGCUGUGCUAAGCAGCUGGGAGAGCUGCUUGGUAGCUCUCAUCAUGACAACUGUCUGCAACAGCAGGGGACAAAAAGGGACUCCUGCUCUGCUGCUGCCUGGCGCUGACCUGCAGAGCUGUGGCAGAGGAGGACUGGGCUUUGCUCGUGCCAGAUUCCAGCUGCUCUAUCUCUGUUUGGCUGGCCCAGAUCCCCUGGCAGUCUCCUCUGCACACUGAGUAUUCUCCACUUCCCACCCUAAGCUGAUGUGCCGUGUUGCUGUGGGCUGCUGAACAACUGCUACUUUCCAUUCAGUGACCAGCUGUCCUUCACUGGUGGGGAAAAGUGAUUUAUAUGCAAGAGAAAGCAAUAGCUGGCACAGCCCAGAGCUGGGAGCCAGAAACGCUGGGCUCAUUUCACCUCUGUGACUGAUUUCUUGUAUGACCCUGGGCACGUGUGUUAAAAUUCACUGUCUCACUGGCUCUGCCUCUACAGCAGAAGCUGCCUCUGCUGGAGGGGUGUGAGGAGGGCAAAUUGACAUUGCUUUGGGGUCACAAAUUGGCUGGAGACGUUCAGAAUAAACCAUUUUUUCCUAA